GAUGAAGAACGUAGCGAAAUGCGAUAAGUAAUGUGAAUUGCAGAAUUCAGUGAAUCAUCGAGUCUUUGAACGCACAUUGCGCCCCCUGGUAUUCCGGGGGGCAUGCCUGUCCGAGCGUCAUUGCUGCCCUCAAGCACGGCUUGUGUGUUGGGCCCCCGUCCCCGGUUUCCCCCGGGGACGGGCCCGAAAGGCAGCGGCGGCACCGCGUCCGGUCCUCGAGCGUAUGGGGCUUUGUCACCCGCUCUGUAGGCCCGGCCGGCGCCAGCCGACACCCAACUUUAUUUCUAAGGUUGACCUCGGAUCAGGUAGGGAUACCCGCUGAACUUAAGCAUAUCAAUAAGCGGAGGA
RNAcentral lists this unclassified non-coding RNA (348 nucleotides) under soil metagenome. RNAcentral describes it as "partial contains 5.8S ribosomal RNA, internal transcribed spacer 2, and large subunit ribosomal RNA". The stretch from base 1 to 120 matches the Rfam family "5.8S ribosomal RNA", at positions 35 to 154 of the family's 154-position model. The record is from RNAcentral.